This 253-nucleotide ribosomal RNA is filed under the name uncultured bacterium. RNAcentral describes it as "partial 16S ribosomal RNA". It matches the Rfam family "Bacterial small subunit ribosomal RNA", at positions 524 to 776 of the family's 1533-position model. The record is from RNAcentral.
UACAGAGGGGGCAAGCGUUGUUCGGAAUUACUGGGCGUAAAGGGCGCGUAGGCGGCCUUCUAAGUCGAACGUGAAAUCCCUGGGCUCAACCCAGGAACUGCGUCCGAUACUGGAAGGCUUGAAUCCGGGAGAGGGAUGCGGAAUUCCAGGUGUAGCGGUGAAAUGCGUAGAUAUCUGGAGGAACACCGGUGGCGAAGGCGACAUCCUGGACCGGUAUUGACGCUGAGGCGCGAAAGCCAGGGGAGCAAACGGG